UAGGUAUUAACUUAACUAAGUCACAUCACUACCUCAUUCACAAAAACCAUGUGGCCCUCACUCAAAAACUUAGAUCACAAAUAGACCUGUGGAACAACGAUGAGAUUUCCUGGUUUGGUUGAAUUCACACCAUCAACAUGAUGGCACUUCCACAUGUCCUCUACCUUUUCCGAACUAUCCCUAUACAACUUUGGUGACUCUAGAUAACCUUGUGACGGCGACGACGCAUUCGGAUGUCUGCCCUAUCAACUUUCGAUGGUACUUUCUGCACCUACCAUGGUGACCACGGGUAAUGGGGAAUCAGGGUUCGAUUCCGGAAAGGGAGCCUGAGAAACGGCUACCACAUCCAAGGAAGGCAGCAGGCGCGCAAAUUACCCACUCCUGACUUGGGGAGGUAGUGACGAAAAAUAACAAUACAUGACUCUUUCGAGGCCCUGUAAUUGAAAUGAGUACACUUUAAAUCCUUUAACAAGGAUCUAUUGGAGAGCAAGUCUGGUGCAGAGCGACUAACCAUGCGUGCUGCAGCUGAAACUCCACU
This is a non-coding RNA of Pelobates cultripes (western spadefoot toad), 538 nucleotides long. Lineage: Eukaryota; Metazoa; Chordata; Amphibia; Anura; Pelobatidae. The record is from the annotation of a GenBank genome assembly.